AACUCAUUUGUUUUUAUUAUGUUCUUGGCGUCAGAGCCAAAUGAUUUUUUGUUUACAAUAAUUUGAGCCUAUCGCCAAGCUAUUUUAAGCAAUGAC
This 96-nucleotide microRNA precursor is filed under the name Bombyx mori (domestic silkworm). RNAcentral's name for it is "microRNA bmo-mir-3372 precursor". Lineage: Eukaryota; Metazoa; Arthropoda; Insecta; Lepidoptera; Bombycidae. The record is from miRBase by way of RNAcentral.